Cucurbita pepo subsp. pepo (vegetable marrow) is the source of this 1056-nucleotide RNA transcript. It is a transcript of the gene named sirohydrochlorin ferrochelatase, chloroplastic, with no coding region annotated. The record is from RefSeq and is a predicted model, not a curated record. NCBI's taxonomy places the organism in Eukaryota, Viridiplantae, Streptophyta, Magnoliopsida, Cucurbitales, Cucurbitaceae.
AGCCUCAGAAUUAUAAUUCUUUUAUAGGCCAAACCAUCCAAGUAGAUUUCCGGACGACGUCGUUUGCAGGGACAGUCCUUCCAAGAUUCAGAAACCAUGAGAUCGUUAUCCAUCACUCCUCAAAUCACUGUGAAGAGUUUCUCGUCCGGCGACACUAGAAGACGAACAUACACAAUCAGCACAUCUCAGAAAUCUGCCAUUCCUAUCGGACGGCACUUGAGAUUCGGAAAUUCCACCUCGCGAUUCCGCAUGAGUGUCGAUAAUGGAGGCUCGAGUCGGAGCCGAGAUCGGAUUGGUGCUGGAGAUGCAGUCAUUAUCGUCGACCAUGGCUCCCGGCGGCAGGAAUCUAACCUCAUGCUGAAUGAGUUCGUUGCUAUGUUUAGGGAUAACACUGGUUACCCUAUUGUGGAGCCUGCUCACAUGGAGCUGGCUAAACCUUCGAUAAGAGAUGCAUUCAAAUCGUGCGUUGAACAAGGGGCCAAUCGCAUCAUCAUAAGCCCGUUCUUCCUCUUCCCCGGUCGACAUUGGCAACAGGAUAUUCCUUCCUUAACAGCUGAGGCAGCAAAGGACCACCCAGGAAUAUCAUACAUAGUAACUGCUCCUCUUGGUCUUCAUGAAAAGCUUGUGGAUGUUGUGAAUGAUAGAAUGAAUCACUGCUUGAGUCAUGCUGCUGGAGUUGCAGAUGAAUGUGAAGUUUGUGCUGGAACAGGCAAAUGCAGAUUUAAUUAAUGAGUCUAUGAAAGUAGGGACUUGGGAUGAAACGACGUAGUUUCGUUUCGAGUGAACGUGUUCGGUGGUGAGGAUUGGAUGGCUGCUGGGUGAAGGCUUUGGCCGCCAUGAAGACAUUGGCCGGAAUUUCCCAGCCGCCUCCAAACACGCCAUAUUCUUCCUUGGGCAGUGGCUGCAUCAGAUACUCCAACACAGCCAGUUCCUCCUUUUCUACCCAAUAUAUGCAAUUUACGGGACAUGAUUCCACUGAAACCUGUAAGAAUGAAGCGAAGCUGUUUAGUGUUCUUUUUCUACUCGUAAUUUACAUUUUCCCCCGUUUUACCUGAA